RNAcentral lists this ribosomal RNA (1343 nucleotides) under uncultured bacterium. RNAcentral's name for it is "16S ribosomal RNA". It matches the Rfam family "Bacterial small subunit ribosomal RNA", at positions 28 to 1378 of the family's 1533-position model. The record is from RNAcentral.
GACGAACGCUGGCGGCGUGCUUAACACAUGCAAGUCGAACGGAAAGGCCCUGCUUUUGUGGGGUGCUCGAGUGGCGAACGGGUGAGUAGCACGUGAGUAACCUGCCCUUGACUUUGGGAUAACUUCAGAAAACUGGGGCUAAUACCGGAUAGGAGCUCCUGCUGCAUGGUGGGGGUUGGAAAGUUUCGGCGGUUGGGGAUGGACUCGCGGCUUAUCAGCUUGUUGGUGGGGUAGUGGCUUACCAAGGCUUUGACGGGUAGCCGGCCUGAGAGGGUGACCGGCCACAUUGGGACUGAGAUACGGCCCAGACUCCUACGGGAGGCAGCAGUGGGGAAUAUUGCACAAUGGGCGGAAGCCUGAUGCAGCAACGCCGCGUGCGGGAUGACGGCCUUCGGGUUGUAAACCGCUUUCGCCUGUGACGAAGCGUGAGUGACGGUAAUGGGUAAAGAAGCACCGGCUAACUACGUGCCAGCAGCCGCGGUGAUACGUAGGGUACGAGCGUUGUCCGGAUUUAUUGGGCGUAAAGGGCUCGUAGGUGGUUGAUCGCGUCGGAAGUGUAAUCUUGGGGCUUAACCCUGAGCGUGCUUUCGAUACGGGUUGACUUGAGGAAGGUAGGGGAGAAUGGAAUUCCUGGUGGAGCGGUGGAAUGCGCAGAUAUCAGGAGGAACACCAGUGGCGAAGGCGGUUCUCUGGGCCUUUCCUGACGCUGAGGAGCGAAAGCGUGGGGAGCGAACAGGCUUAGAUACCCUGGUAGUCCACGCUGUAAACGGUGGGUACUAGGUGUGGGGUCCAUUCCACGGGUUCCGUGCCGUAGCUAACGCUUUAAGUACCCCGCCUGGGGAGUACGGCCGCAAGGCUAAAACUCAAAGGAAUUGACGGGGCCCCGCACAAGCGGCGGAGCAUGCGGAUUAAUUCGAUGCAACGCGUAGAACCUUACCUGGGUUUGACAUGGAUCGGGAGUGCUCAGAGAUGGGUGUGCCUCUUUUGGGGUCGGUUCACAGGUGGUGCAUGGCUGUCGUCAGCUCGUGUCGUGAGAUGUUGGGUUAAGUCCCGCAACGAGCGCAACCCUUGUUCACUGUUGCCAGCACGUUAUGGUGGGGACUCAGUGGAGACCGCCGGGGUCAACUCGGAGGAAGGUGGGGAUGUCGUCAAGUCAUCAUGCCCCUUAUGUCCAGGGCUUCACGCAUGCUACAAUGGCUGGUACAGAGAGUGGCGAGCCUGUGAGGGUGAGCGAAUCUCGGAAAGCCGGUCUCAGUUCGGAUUGGGGUCUGCAACUCGACCUCAUGAAGUCGGAGUCGCUAGUAAUCGCAGAUCAGCAACGCUGCGGUGAAUACGUUCCCGGG